AUUUAGAUUUGAAAUAAACUAAACUAGACCAAAGAGCUCUUUUCCUACUUAGUAUGCAAGAAGAGUGGACGUUUAUAAAGUAACAAAGAUUACCUUGCGUUCUUGUGCAAAUUCCAAUGAACCAUUUACCUAUGAAGCUAAACUCCGGUUGUAUCGAGCCAACUUAAUUGACCUCCAGAGAGUCCUUUAGAUUUCUUUCCUGAUCAUUCAAUCUCUUCGAUCUUCCAUAACUUCUUCACCUCUUUGUUAUUCAGAUUUUGGAUCUUUGAUUCUUGUAAUAAACAUACAUCUGUCUUUCGUUUUUCUAGUAGUUGGUUCAGCCUUCUUUUCUUAAUU
Molecule: long non-coding RNA, 336 nt
Filed under: Lathyrus oleraceus (garden pea)
Lineage: Eukaryota; Viridiplantae; Streptophyta; Magnoliopsida; Fabales; Fabaceae
Description: Pisum sativum (pea) long non-coding RNA (PSAT_LNC003005)
Source: RNAcentral